AAUAUUAGGACAUAUAAAAAAAGACAACUCUGUUCCGCAGAGUAGCUGUUGACAUUAUAGUUGCGCAGGCACUUUGUUGACUCUAGAGAACCUUGGGCCAAUCGCACAUCCCCGUGGUGGUGACUUUGCAUGUGGAUGUCAUCCAUAUCAACUUUUGAUGCCAGUUUCUGCGCCUACCAUGGUGACCCCGGGUAACGGGGAAUCAGGGUUCCACUCCGUUCAGGGACCCUUAGAAACGGCUACCACGUGCAAAGAAGGCAGCAGGCGCGCAAAUUACCCACUCCCAACGCGGGAAGGUAGUGA
Non-coding RNA from Pelobates cultripes (western spadefoot toad), 303 nucleotides. The record is from the annotation of a GenBank genome assembly. Lineage: Eukaryota; Metazoa; Chordata; Amphibia; Anura; Pelobatidae.